RNAcentral lists this ribosomal RNA (300 nucleotides) under uncultured Bacillus sp. RNAcentral's name for it is "bacterial SSU rRNA". It matches the Rfam family "Bacterial small subunit ribosomal RNA", at positions 496 to 795 of the family's 1533-position model. Lineage: Bacteria; Bacillati; Bacillota; Bacilli; Caryophanales; Bacillaceae. The record is from RNAcentral.
GAGCAUUCCGGGGUAGCAACGGCGGGAAUAAGGGGUGGGGUAGGGUUGUGCGGGAUGACAGGGCGUAAAGCGCGUGUAGGGGGGCUGUUAAGGCUGAUGGGAAAGCCCGGGGCUCACCCCCGGAAGUGCAUUGGAAACUGUCAGGCUCGAGUCCCGGAGAGGAGGGUGGAAUUCCUGGUGUAGCGGUGAAAUGCGUAGAUAUCAGGAGGAACACCGGUGGCGAAGGCGGCCCUCUGGACGGUGACUGACGCUGAGACGCGAAAGCGUGGGGAGCAAACAGGAUUAGAUACCCUGGUAGUC